This 918-nucleotide long non-coding RNA is filed under the name Ananas comosus (pineapple). RNAcentral's name for it is "long non-coding RNA (ACOM_LNC027214)". The record is from RNAcentral. Lineage: Eukaryota; Viridiplantae; Streptophyta; Magnoliopsida; Poales; Bromeliaceae.
AAAAACUGCAAAACCCCCCGUGGUUUCGCAUUUUCUCACCUUAGUACCUUGUGGUUUUAUUUUUAUCUUUCCGACAGCUUUUUCGUUAAUAUUUCGUUAAAUUAUAUACAAAAAACUUCAGAUACCCAUCUAGGUUUAUCGAAUAUUCACUUUAGUAUUCUUUAAUUUUAACUUUGUCACUGAUUUAAGAAAAAAAUAGUAAAAUUAAUAAUAAAAGGAGAAAAUGAAACCACAGGGUACUAAAUUGAUGCACUUUAAACCACAUGGUACUAAAGUGAAAAAGUGCGAAACCAUAGAAGGGUUUUUGAAGUUUCCCUUUUUCUAUGGAAAAACUUCAAAUACUACCCUCGUGGCUUCGCACUUUUUCAUUUUAAUACUCUGUGGUUUAAAGUGUAUUAGUUUAGUAUCCUGGAGUUUCGUACUUUCCCACUUUAGUAUUCUGUAGUUUAAAAUGCAUCGAUUUAGUACCAUGUGGUUUCAUUUUUCUCUUUUCGUCUGCUCUUCUGUUAAUAUUUUGUUAAAUUAUAUACAAAAAACUUCAGAUAGCCUACCUAGAUUUAUCGAAUAUUUACUUUAAUACCCUUUAGUUUUAAUUUUGUUACUGAUUUUUUUUCCUCCGAUAAUAUUUCUUUAAAUAAUAUACAAAAAACUUCAAAUAUCUUAUCUAGAUUUAUCGAAUAUUCACUUUAGUACCCUUUAAUUUUAAUUUUGUUACUGAUUUAACGAAAAAAAAUUAAUUGAUAAUCAAAAAAGAAAAAUGAAACCACAUGGUACUAAUUUGAUACGCUUUAAACCACAAGAAGUACUAAAGUGAGAAAGUGCGAAACCAUUGGAACUAACUUGAUAUACUUUAAACCGUAUGGUACUAAAGUGAGAAAAUAUGAAACCACAUGGGGUAUUUGAAGUUUACCCUUUUUC